This 73-nucleotide transfer RNA is filed under the name Bacteroidales bacterium. Its description in RNAcentral is "tRNA-Arg". It matches the Rfam family "tRNA". From Rfam's summary of the family: Transfer RNA (tRNA) molecules are approximately 80 nucleotides in length. The record is from RNAcentral. Lineage: Bacteria; Pseudomonadati; Bacteroidota; Bacteroidia; Bacteroidales.
GGCCCCGUAGUUAAAUUGGAUAGAAUGCGAGAUUCCGGUUCUUGUGGUGGGGGUUCAAGUCCCUCCGGGGUCA